GCCCCUAUAGCUCAGUAGGAUAGAGCAACGACCUUCUAAGUCGUGAGUCGGGAGUUCAAGUCUCUCUGGGGGCG
Molecule: transfer RNA, 74 nt
Filed under: Lysinibacillus fusiformis
Lineage: Bacteria; Bacillati; Bacillota; Bacilli; Caryophanales; Bacillaceae
Also listed under: 1 other name
Description: tRNA-Arg
Rfam family: tRNA
About the family: Transfer RNA (tRNA) molecules are approximately 80 nucleotides in length. Their secondary structure includes four short double-helical elements and three loops (D, anti-codon, and T loops).
Source: RNAcentral